GCAGCUUGCUGCUUCGCUGACGAGUGGCGGACGGGUGAGUAAUGUCUGGGAAGCUGCCUGAUGGAGGGGGAUAACUACUGGAAACGGUAGCUAAUACCGCAUAAUGUCGCAAGACCAAAGAGGGGGACCUUCGGGCCUCUUGCCAUCGGAUGUGCCCAGAUGGGAUUAGCUUGUUGGUGGGGUAACGGCUCACCAAGGCGACGAUCCCUAGCUGGUCUGAGAGGAUGACCAGCCACACUGGAACUGAGACACGGUCCAGACUCCUACGGGAGGCAGCAGUGGGGAAUAUUGCACAAUGGGCGCAAGCCUGAUGCAGCCAUGCCGCGUGUAUGAAGAAGGCCUUCGGGUUGUAAAGUACUUUCAGCGGGGAGGAAGGGAGUAAAGUUAAUACCUUUGCUCAUUGACGUUACCCGCAGAAGAAGCACCGGCUAACUCCGUGCCAGCAGCCGCGGUAAUACGGAGGGUGCAAGCGUUAAUCGGAAUUACUGGGCGUAAAGCGCACGCAGGCGGUUUGUUAAGUCAGAUGUGAAAUCCCCGGGCUCAACCUGGGAACUGCAUCUGAUACUGGCAAGCUUGAGUCUCGUAGAGGGGGGUAGAAUUCCAGGUGUAGCGGUGAAAUGCGUAGAGAUCUGGAGGAAUACCGGUGGCGAAGGCGGCCCCCUGGACGAAGACUGACGCUCAGGUGCGAAAGCGUGGGGAGCAAACAGGAUUAGAUACCCUGGUAGUCCACGCCGUAAACGAUGUCGACUUGGAGGUUGUGCCCUUGAGGCGUGGCUUCCGGAGCUAACGCGUUAAGUCGACCGCCUGGGGAGUACGGCCGCAAGGUUAAAACUCAAAUGAAUUGACGGGGGCCCGCACAAGCGGUGGAGCAUGUGGUUUAAUUCGAUGCAACGCGAAGAACCUUACCUGGUCUUGACAUCCACGGAAGUUUUCAGAGAUGAGAAUGUGCCUUCGGGAACCGUGAGACAGGUGCUGCAUGGCUGUCGUCAGCUCGUGUUGUGAAAUGUUGGGUUAAGUCCCGCAACGAGCGCAACCCUUAUCCUUUGUUGCCAGCGGUCCGGCCGGGAACUCAAAGGAGACUGCCGGUGAUAAACUGGAGGAAGGUGGGGAUGACGUCAAGUCAUCAUGGCCCUUACGACCAGGGCUACACACGUGCUACAAUGGCGCAUACAAAGAGAAGCGACCUCGCGAGAGCAAGCGGACCUCAUAAAGUGCGUCGUAGUCCGGAUUGGAGUCUGCAACUCGACUCCAUGAAGUCGGAAUCGCUAGUAAUCGUGGAUCAGAAUGCCACGGUGAAUACGUUCCCGGGCCUUGUACACACCGCCCGUCACACCAUGGGAGUGGGUUGCAAAAGAAGUAGGUAGCUUAACCUUCGGGAGGGCGCUUACCACUUUGUGAUUCAUGACUGGGGUGAAGUCGUAACAAGGUA
RNAcentral lists this ribosomal RNA (1429 nucleotides) under metagenome. RNAcentral describes it as "bacterial SSU rRNA". It matches the Rfam family "Bacterial small subunit ribosomal RNA". The record is from RNAcentral.